RNAcentral lists this long non-coding RNA (356 nucleotides) under Capsicum annuum. RNAcentral's name for it is "long non-coding RNA (CANN_LNC021922)". The record is from RNAcentral. Lineage: Eukaryota; Viridiplantae; Streptophyta; Magnoliopsida; Solanales; Solanaceae.
AGUCAACCACCUUAAACCAGCCUAGCUAGAAAACUUCCUAAAAUCCACUGGUAUCUCAUCAGGCCCCGUCGCCCUACCCCUUCGCAUCCUGCGAACAACCUCUCUAACCUCCUCUACCUUAAAACGUCUACAAUAACUAAAAUCCCGAUACUCCUCUGAGUGCUCCAUCUCCCCUAACAUAAUAGCUCUAUCCCCUUCGUCAUUCAAGAGCCUAGGAAAAUACGACUGCCAUCUAUUCUUAAUGUGGCUGUCCUCCACCAACACUGUACCAUCCUCCCCCUUAAUGCACUUCACCUGGUCGAGGUCACGACCCUUCCUCUCCCUAGCCUUAGCGAGUCUAAACAACUUUUUUUCCC